GUAGGGAAUCUUCCGCAAUGGGCGAAAGCCUGACGGAGCAACGCCGCGUGAGUGAUGAAGGUCUUCGGAUCGUAAAACUCUGUUAUUAGGGAAGAACAUAUGUGUAAGUAACUGUGCACAUCUUGACGGUACCUAAUCAGAAAGCCACGGCUAACUACGUGCCAGCAGCCGCGGUAAUACGUAGGUGGCAAGCGUUAUCCGGAAUUAUUGGGCGUAAAGCGCGCGUAGGCGGUUUUUUAAGUCUGAUGUGAAAGCCCACGGCUCAACCGUGGAGGGUCAUUGGAAACUGGAAAACUUGAGUGCAGAAGAGGAAAGUGGAAUUCCAUGUGUAGCGGUGAAAUGCGCAGAGAUAUGGAGGAACACCAGUGGCGAAGGCGACUUUCUGGUCUGUAACUGACGCUGAUGUGCGAAAGCGUGGGGAUCAAACAGGAUUAGAUACCCUGGUA
RNAcentral lists this ribosomal RNA (446 nucleotides) under Staphylococcus aureus. RNAcentral's name for it is "bacterial SSU rRNA". It matches the Rfam family "Bacterial small subunit ribosomal RNA", at positions 354 to 792 of the family's 1533-position model. The record is from RNAcentral. Lineage: Bacteria; Bacillati; Bacillota; Bacilli; Caryophanales; Staphylococcaceae.